Molecule: ribosomal RNA, 464 nt
Filed under: uncultured bacterium
Lineage: Bacteria
Description: partial 16S ribosomal RNA
Rfam family: Bacterial small subunit ribosomal RNA
Source: RNAcentral
GACGAACGCUGGCGGCGUGCUUAACACAUGCAAGUCGAACGGUAAGGCCCUUUCGGGGGUACACGAGUGGCGAACGGGUGAGUAACACGUGGGUGAUCUGCCCUGCACUUUGGGAUAAGCCUGGGAAACUGGGUCUAAUACCGGAUAGGACUACGCGAUGCAUGUCGUGUGGUGGAAAGCUUUUGCGGUGUGGGAUGGGCCCGCGGCCUAUCAGCUUGUUGGUGGGGUGAUGGCCUACAAAGGCGACGACGGGUAGCCGGCCUGAGAGGGUGUCCGGCCACACUGGGACUGAGAUACGGCCCAGACUCCUACGGGAGGCAGCAGUGGGGAAUAUUGCACAAUGGGCGCAAGCCUGAUGCAGCGACGCCGCGUGGGGGAUGACGGCCUUCGGGUUGUAAACCCCUUUCAGCACAGACGAAGCGUAAGUGACGGUAUGUGCAGAAGAAGCACCGGCCAACUACGUG